CCUACGGGAGGCAGCAGUGAGGAAUAUUGGUCAAUGGACGAGAGUCUGAACCAGCCACGUCGCGUGAAGGAUGACUGCCCUAUGGUUUGUAAACUUCUUUUAUAAAGGAAUAAAACGAGGCACGUGUGCCUUUUUGCAUGUACUUUAUGAAUAAGGAUCGGCUAACUCCGUGCCAGCAGCCGCGGUAAUACGGAGGAUCCGAUCGUUAUCCGGAUUUAUUGGGUUUAAAGGGAGCUUAGGCUGUGAGGUAAGUCAGCGGUGAAAUGCCCCCGCUCAAAGGGGUGAAGUGCCAUUGAUACUGCCGUGCUGGAAUGCGGAUGCGGUAGGAGGAAUGUGUGGUGUAGCGGUGAAAUGCAUAGAUAUCACGAAGAACUCCGAUUGCGAAGGCAGCCUACUAAACUGCCACUGACAUUGAUGCGCGAAAGUGUGGGGAUCAAACAGGAUUAGAUACCCUUGUAGUC
Molecule: ribosomal RNA, 461 nt
Filed under: uncultured bacterium
Lineage: Bacteria
Description: partial 16S ribosomal RNA
Rfam family: Bacterial small subunit ribosomal RNA
Source: RNAcentral